GCAAUUACUGUUUUUAUUUUUUUAUUUAGUGGCGGAAACGGGCUUCCAUAGAAUCCAAACCAGAAUCCAGAAUCAAAGUAUUUAUUUCCCUUUCCUGAAGAGUUGCUAUUUCUGAAGGACAAGUUUCUUUCUUGGGCAUGUUGCAAAGAUAUUGCUAUUAACAUACCACCCUUUCCUUUUGUGUCUGAAAUAUAUCUGAUAAGAAUAGCCCAGGCUGAUGCCGCUGGAAUCCCCCCAUGCCGCCUGCACUGUUGACUCCGGAACGACCUGGGCGGUGAUCGUGGCACUUGGCAGAAUGUAUCACUUUCCCAGAGCUCCACAGAGGAUGCCUUUCCUUUGGAAACCAGAGACACGUCUGUCUGAAGUCAUGGGGUUCAGCGGCACCAGACACCCUCCAGUCCAGUAUGGGACCCUCGAACGAAGACCAUGCCUAAUCUGAAACUGCCAUUCUCCCUGCGCAGCAGACUUUUACACAUGCAAAAUGGAUAUCAGAGCGCUUUGGCUGCCUGACAACACCAGGCUCUCUGACAAAGAGAGGCUGGAGAGGAAAAUGAAUGAAAAAGAGAAAAGGACAGCGAGAGUCAAGACGAUGCCCUGGACAGUUCAAAGGGUGCAUUCCUAGCAUUUGACAGAGGGUAAAUGAUGCAUUUCAAACUCAAAUCUAUUUCCUCUGUUUUAAUGAAGUCAACUGUGAAUAAUAUCGAGUCGCUAGAGAUGUUUCUGGUCCCAAGACACUAAGAGGUAAAAGUUGUAAAAACAAGUUGAAAACAUGCAAGUGAAAUCUUCCAAGCUACUUUUGAAAUCAAAAUGCUUUUGCUAAUAAUUUAUGCAGUUCAAACAAUGAACAAUUAUCCUUUGACACGACAUUAAACAUUCACAAUACAUUCUACUUCUGUAAUGUGAUGCAUUUCUGAAUGUGAUCAAGAAAAAAGGGGACUGGAUCAUGAAAAAUACUGGAGCCUCUACCUGCUGGAAACCAAGUAGGUGACUAGGAUAUGGAAGAUGAUAAUCAUCUCUGUUUAUAUCAAUGAUAACACUUUUUUUCAAAUCUAUUGCAAUUUGCUACUGUUGCUGUAAGUGUUAUUAUGUAGGUAAACUGGUGUUUAAUUACUAUUGGAAAGGCUGCAUUACCUACAACAGUAGUCCAAAAUUAUGCCUAAAAUGCUCUUUGGCUAUUGGUUAACAUUCUUUUCCAUGCCAGCCAAGCUAAGUGAUGUCAGCUGAAACGAAAAGUCAGCAAGAAGCAGUCACACUACACAGUCUAUGAGUAGGAAACAGAAGGAUCAAGUAUUUAUUUAAUAGUAUUUUAAAGCUACUGUACAUGAAUAGACAGGAAGAACAAUUGAGAUAUUGUUAUUCUCUGAUACAUCUUUAGAAACAGUUAUUUAAAGAUCUUUAGAAGCAGAUGUGUUGCCUUAAAAAAAAACAAUUCUGUUUUAUUUCCUGUACUUAAACACACGCAUGCAGGUGUUUAUACUUACACACACAAAUACACAUAUUUGAGUAAAAAAAAAAAAAAAAAAGUAAAUAAAACAGAAUCACUUGCCAGAUGGCCAGUAAUUUUAUAAUAUAUACAUUUUAAAUAUGUAUUUGUUGAGCUGUUUACUAAAUGCAAUUUAUUAUUAUUAUUAUUUAUAAUAAAAUGCUAAUUAAAAUAAACAACAUAAUAAUAAUUAUAUUAUAAUUAACAAUUAUGA
This is a long non-coding RNA of Ctenopharyngodon idella (grass carp), 1697 nucleotides long. RefSeq lists it as uncharacterized. The transcript has 3 exons. NCBI's taxonomy places the organism in Eukaryota, Metazoa, Chordata, Actinopteri, Cypriniformes, Xenocyprididae. The record is from RefSeq and is a predicted model, not a curated record.